Molecule: ribosomal RNA, 641 nt
Filed under: Salmonella enterica subsp. enterica serovar Kentucky
Lineage: Bacteria; Pseudomonadati; Pseudomonadota; Gammaproteobacteria; Enterobacterales; Enterobacteriaceae
Description: partial 23S ribosomal RNA
Rfam family: Bacterial large subunit ribosomal RNA
Source: RNAcentral
CUAAAGAGUAACGGAGGAGCACGAAGGUUGGCUAAUCCUGGUCGGACAUCAGGAGGUUAGUGCAAUGGCAUAAGCCAGCUUGACUGCGAGCGUGACGGCGCGAGCAGGUGCGAAAGCAGGUCAUAGUGAUCCGGUGGUUCUGAAUGGAAGGGCCAUCGCUCAACGGAUAAAAGGUACUCCGGGGAUAACAGGCUGAUACCGCCCAAGAGUUCAUAUCGACGGCGGUGUUUGGCACCUCGAUGUCGGCUCAUCACAUCCUGGGGCUGAAGUAGGUCCCAAGGGUAUGGCUGUUCGCCAUUUAAAGUGGUACGCGAGCUGGGUUUAGAACGUCGUGAGACAGUUCGGUCCCUAUCUGCCGUGGGCGCUGGAGAACUGAGGGGGGCUGCUCCUAGUACGAGAGGACCGGAGUGGACGCAUCACUGGUGUUCGGGUUGUCAUGCCAAUGGCACUGCCCGGUAGCUAAAUGCGGAAGAGAUAAGUGCUGAAAGCAUCUAAGCACGAAACUUGCCCCGAGAUGAGUUCUCCCUGAGACUUAGAGUCUCCUGAAGGAACGUUGAAGACGACGACGUUGAUAGGCCGGGUGUGUAAGCGCAGCGAUGCGUUGAGCUAACCGGUACUAAUGAACCGUGAGGCUUAACCUU